Molecule: ribosomal RNA, 496 nt
Filed under: uncultured bacterium
Lineage: Bacteria
Description: partial 16S ribosomal RNA
Rfam family: Bacterial small subunit ribosomal RNA
Source: RNAcentral
AUGAACGCUGGCGGCGUGCCUAAUACAUGCAAGUCGCGCGAACAGACGAGGAGCUUGCUCCUCUGACGUUAGCGGCGGACGGGUGAGUAACACGUGGAUAACCUACCUAUAAGACUGGGAUAACUUCGGGAAACCGGAGCUAAUACCGGAUAAUAUAUUGAACCGCAUGGUUCAAUAGUGAAAGACGGUCUUGCUGUCACUUAUAGAUGGAUCCGCGCCGCAUUAGCUAGUUGGUAAGGUAACGGCUUACCAAGGCAACGAUGCGUAGCCGACCUGAGAGGGUGAUCGGCCACACUGGAACUGAGACACGGUCCAGACUCCUACGGGAGGCAGCAGUAGGGAAUCUUCCGCAAUGGGCGAAAGCCUGACGGAGCAACGCCGCGUGAGUGAUGAAGGUCUUCGGAUCGUAAAACUCUGUUAUUAGGGAAGAACAAAUGUGUAAGUAACUAUGCACGUCUUGACGGUACCUAAUCAGAAAGCCACGGCUAACUACGUG